RNAcentral lists this long non-coding RNA (878 nucleotides) under Equus caballus (horse). RNAcentral describes it as "lncRNA (ENSECAG00000053861.1)". The record is from RNAcentral. Lineage: Eukaryota; Metazoa; Chordata; Mammalia; Perissodactyla; Equidae.
GAGUCACUCCAUCUGCGGAGGGGGCAAGAGACCUCAGAGGUGAUUUGUUUUAACCGACACAGUGGCUCCCCAUGGUGGAGCAUCGGCACUGGGGGAGUGGGCAGGGCAGGGCUCCCCGUCCUUGCUGCGGGCGGCUGCCUCAAGGGAGAGCAGCCUUGUGUGGGCUGGGAGGCUGGGGGAUGUUGGCCUCCUCCUCUUGCAUUCAGCUCAAGGACCACAGAGGGCGUGGGGGCAACACACUGCCCUGGGUACCCUGUGUUGGCUCCUGAGCUGCUCAGGGGGAUGGCUUCUUGUCACUGCCAGAACAUCGCUUGAUACAUGCCGAGGAGGAGCAGUUUAAAAGGCUCCUCCCCCAACCCCAGCCCUGAGGCCUGUCUCCCUUCCGCCUCUCCCUUUGCGCACAGGCCGGGGUGGGGAGAGCAGGAGCCGCAGGGCCACCGAGCUGCGAGCCACGCAGGCUCCGCCCUGGCUGUGGGGCGCAACUUUCCAUAUCCGGAUGCUGUCACUCACACAGCUGUGUCCGUCUGGGCGCUGACUUCCUUUGAUAUUCUGAGCCGCAGCCGGGAGCUCCGACCCAAAUCCAGCUACACAGACUUGCACUUGCUCCUUGAGAGAGAGGCCGGUGACGUUUCAGAGCCACUCCAUGCCUGGACAGGUGUCACGAUGGGUUGGAGUUAUCCAACCCCAACGGGUAUGUGCCCGUUUUCCUGCAAUUAACAGUCUCGGUGUUCAGUUCAACUGCAUUAGCCACACUCAAAAACUCCAGGGAAAUACGAUCCUUUGUUUCUAGUUCAUCCGUGGGUGCUGGUUACCGCAAGCCAAUCUUCAGAGUGGAAGUUUGUUGGGUCCCAAGGGGCCCCGGCCUUGGGAUCUCAGUG